AUUGAACGCUGGCGGCAGGCCUAACACAUGCAAGUCGAGCGGAUGAAGGGAGCUUGCUCCUGGAUUCAGCGGCGGACGGGUGAGUAAUGCCUAGGAAUCUGCCUGGUAGUGGGGGAUAACGUCCGGAAACGGGCGCUAAUACCGCAUACGUCCUGAGGGUGAAAGUGGGGGAUCUUCGGACCUCACGCUAUCAGAUGAGCCUAGGUCGGAUUAGCUAGUUGGUGGGGUAAAGGCCUACCAAGGCGACGAUCCGUAACUGGUCUGAGAGGAUGAUCAGUCACACUGGAACUGAGACACGGUCCAGACUCCUACGGGAGGCAGCAGUGGGGAAUAUUGGGCAAUGGGCGAAAGCCUGAUCCAGCCAUGCCGCGUGUGUGAAGAAGGUCUUCGGAUUGUAAAGCACUUUAAGUUGGGAGGAAGAGCAGUAAGUUAAUACCUUGCUGUUUUGACGUUACCAACAGAAUAAGCACCGGCUAACUUCGUG
Molecule: ribosomal RNA, 484 nt
Filed under: uncultured bacterium
Lineage: Bacteria
Description: partial 16S ribosomal RNA
Rfam family: Bacterial small subunit ribosomal RNA
Source: RNAcentral